Molecule: non-coding RNA, 82 nt
Organism: Termitomyces sp. T32_za158
Lineage: Eukaryota; Fungi; Basidiomycota; Agaricomycetes; Agaricales; Lyophyllaceae
Source: the annotation of a GenBank genome assembly
GCAUUAAUGGGGUAGUGGUAACCUGGGUCGUUGCCAUUGACAGUGUGUCGACCCGCCGGGGGUUCGAUUCCCCCUUAAUGCA